Molecule: ribosomal RNA, 764 nt
Filed under: Desmodesmus sp. S8
Lineage: Eukaryota; Viridiplantae; Chlorophyta; Chlorophyceae; Sphaeropleales; Scenedesmaceae
Description: eukaryotic LSU rRNA
Rfam family: 5.8S ribosomal RNA (bases 125-336)
Source: RNAcentral
GCGGAGGAGGGGAAGAGGAGCACGUAAGUGUGUGGCCUACUAACCUACACACCAUUGACCAACCACUGAUCAAACCAAACUCUGAAGCUUUGACUGCCGUUAACCGGUGGUUUUAACCAAGAACAACUCUCAACAACGGAUAUCUUGGCUCUCGCAACGAUGAAGAACGCAGCGACCGUAUUAUUAGCGGAGGAGGGGAGUAAAGUCGUAACAAGGUAACCGCAUAUCAAGGAAAUGCGAUACGUAGUGUGAAUUGCAGAAUUCCGUGAACCAUCGAAUCUUUGAACGCAUAUUGCGCUCGACUCCUCGGAGAAGAGCAUGUCUGCCUCAGCGUCGGUUUACACCCUCACCCCUCUUCCCUACCAGGAAGCGUCUAUUGUGCUUGCUCAAGCCGAUAGCAGGGGUGGAUCUGGCUCUCCCAAUCGGAUUCACUUUCGAUUGGGUUGGCUGAAGCACAGAGGCUUAAACUGGGACCCGAUUCGGGCUCAACUGGAUAGGUAGCAACACCCUCGGGUGCCUACACGAAGUUGUGUCUGAGGACCUGGUUAGGAGCCAAGCAGGAAACGCGUUUCUAACGCGUACUCUGUAUUCGACCUGAGCUCAGGCAAGGCUACCCGCUGAACUUAAGCAUAUCAAUAGGCCGGAGGAACGUCCGUGGUCCGUGAGACCAGGGUCGGAGGAUUAAAAUCCUCCCCUCUCUAACCACGACCUCAGAUCGGGCAAGAUUACCCGCUGAACUUAAGCAUAUCAAUAAGCGGAGGAAA